GUAGGGAAUAUUGGACAAUGGGCGAAAGCCUGAUCCAGCCAUGCCGCGUGUGUGAAGAAGGUCUUCGGAUUGUAAAGCACUUUAAGUUGGGAGGAAGGGCAGUAAGUUAAUACCUUGCUGUUUUGAUGUUACCGACAGAAUAAGCACCGGCUAACUUCGUGCCAGCAGCCGCGGUAAUACGAAGGGUGCAAGCGUUAAUCGGAAUUACUGGGCGUAAAGCGCGCGUAGGUGGUUUUGUAAGUUGGAGGUGAAAUCCCCGGGCUCAACCUGGGAACUGCCUCCAAAACUGCAUGACUAGAGUACGGUAGAGGGUAGUGGAAUUUCCUGUGUAGCGGUGAAAUGCGUAGAUAUAGGAAGGAACACCAGUGGCGAAGGCGACUACCUGGACUGAUACUGACACUGAGGUGCGAAAGCGUGGGGAGCAAACAGGAUUAGAUACCCUAGUAGUCC
This 450-nucleotide ribosomal RNA is filed under the name uncultured bacterium. RNAcentral describes it as "partial 16S ribosomal RNA". It matches the Rfam family "Bacterial small subunit ribosomal RNA", at positions 354 to 796 of the family's 1533-position model. The record is from RNAcentral.